AUUGAACGCUGGCGGCAGGCCUAACACAUGCAAGUCGAGCGGAUGAAGGGAGCUUGCUCCUGGAUUCAGCGGCGGACGGGUGAGUAAUGCCUAGGAAUCUGCCUGGUAGUGGGGGAUAACGUCCGGAAACGGGCGCUAAUACCGCAUACGUCCUGAGGGAGAAAGUGGGGGAUCUUCGGACCUCACGCUAUCAGAUGAGCCUAGGUCGGAUUAGCUAGUUGGUGGGGUAAAGGCCUACCAAGGCGACGAUCCGUAACUGGUCUGAGAGGAUGAUCAGUCACACGGGAAGUGAGACACGGUCCAGACGCCUACGAGAGGCAGCAGUGGGGAAUAUUGGACAAUGGGCGAAAGCCUGAUCCAGCCAUGCCGCGUGUGUGAAGAAGGUCUUCGGAUUGUAAAGCACUUUAAGUUGGGAGGAAGGGCAGUAAGUUAAUACCUUGCUGUUUUGACGUUACCAACAGAAUAAGCACCGGCUAACUUCGUG
Molecule: ribosomal RNA, 484 nt
Filed under: uncultured bacterium
Lineage: Bacteria
Description: partial 16S ribosomal RNA
Rfam family: Bacterial small subunit ribosomal RNA
Source: RNAcentral